RNAcentral lists this ribosomal RNA (162 nucleotides) under Atriplex gmelinii. RNAcentral describes it as "5.8S ribosomal RNA". It matches the Rfam family "5.8S ribosomal RNA". Rfam says of the family: 5.8S ribosomal RNA (5.8S rRNA) is a component of the large subunit of the eukaryotic ribosome. It is transcribed by RNA polymerase I as part of the 45S precursor that also contains 18S and 28S rRNA. Lineage: Eukaryota; Viridiplantae; Streptophyta; Magnoliopsida; Caryophyllales; Amaranthaceae. The record is from RNAcentral. RNAcentral also lists the same sequence under 3 other names.
AAACGACUCUCGGCAACGGAUAUCUCGGCUCUCGCAUCGAUGAAGAACGUAGCGAAAUGCGAUACUUGGUGUGAAUUGCAGAAUCCCGUGAACCAUCGAGUCUUUGAACGCAAGUUGCGCCCGAAGCCAUUAGGUCGAGGGCACGCCUGCCUGGGCGUCACG